This 865-nucleotide long non-coding RNA is filed under the name Setaria italica (foxtail millet). Its description in RNAcentral is "long non-coding RNA (SITA_LNC004171)". Lineage: Eukaryota; Viridiplantae; Streptophyta; Magnoliopsida; Poales; Poaceae. The record is from RNAcentral.
AGAGGAGGGCUGCUGUUGUAACCAUGAUGACAUAGUGAUAGGCUCGCAGGGGAGACAGCAUGACGCCAGGACCUCGGAGCGAUCGGUGUUGCGGUAUUGGGGAGGAGCGUCCGUGAUCAUGCCCCAGGAUGCAGGCUUCGGUUGAAUCUCGUCAAUAAAAAUCGUAUCUCCAUUAUCGCAUGUGAUUGUGCAAGUUCAUUUCGGUAUAUCCAAUCGUUGCUUCCGUUGGUGGAGAUCAGUGGGCGGCUCAUCGCCGCGAGGGCUAAUUUUCUAACAAUUGAUAUAGGGGCUAAAAGGUCGGAAAUCUGGAACAUCUCUGGAUAACAUGGUGACGGGGGAGCCCGUGUACGUCUUCGAAGGGUCACACGGGUUGUGUUGUGAUUGGAGAGCUGGACUCGGGGUCUGGGAUAACGUCUUCGAGAGAUCACAUGGAUUAUAUGUGAUGGAAGAGUUGGACCUGAUGUGUGACUGGGGAGAUUGUUUGGUUUAAUCCCGCAUCGGAAAUUGAUGGUGGAGGAGUACCAUACAUAGGUGAGACCAGUUUCUCACCUGUUAGACUAGUUUUUCGGAUUGAGUUAGGCUAAAAACUUAUUAUUGUGAGUUUCGAUAAAUCUGAGCGUGUUGGUGCAGGCUCGUGGGUAUCCGAUGCGCACUCUAAACAACCGUCGUGAUCGCCGGCCUCACCAUCGCCACUGCCAGUGUGUCAGAUUCUGCGUUGCAAUGUCACAGCAGAGGAAGUAGCAAUGUGGUUUGACUUGGACCAUUUGUGCUUGGGGAACAACGGCCAUUGUUUGCGUCUCUGUGUUGCAAUGACAGUGACGCCAUUGUUUUUUUUUUUGGGUGGACUCCAAUGAGGCCAUUGUAG